Molecule: ribosomal RNA, 253 nt
Filed under: uncultured bacterium
Lineage: Bacteria
Description: partial 16S ribosomal RNA
Rfam family: Bacterial small subunit ribosomal RNA
Source: RNAcentral
UACGAACUGUGCGAACGUUAUUCGGAAUCACUGGGCUUAAAGGGCGCGUAGGCGGGUGGGCAAGUCUGCGGUGAAAUCCUCCAGCUUAACUGGAGAAGUGCCGUGGAUACUGCUUACCUGGAGGAGGGUAGGGGCAUCUGGAACGUUGGGUGGAGCGGUGAAAUGCGUUGAUAUCCAACGGAACUCCGAUGGCGAAGGCAAGGUGCUGGACCCUUUCUGACGCUGAGGCGCGAAAGCCAGGGGAGCGAACGGG